GCCCCUGUGAGAAUGCCCAUAACUCCCUACCCUGGAGCAAGGAGCUGGUAUCAGGCACUUCUUAAGAUUACGCCCACGACACCUUGCUAAGCCACACCCCCAAGGGACCCCAGCAGUGAUCAACAUUAGGCCAUAAGCGAAAGCUUAACUUAGUUAAAGCUAAUUAGGGCUGGUAAAUCUCGUGCCAGCCACCGCGGUUAGACGGGAAGCCCAAGCUGAUAGUUUCCGGCGUAAAGAGUGGUUAAUUCACCCCUUGAAACUAAAGCCGAACGUCCCCAAAACUGUAAAAUGUGUUCGAGGACAUGAAGCUCACCCACGAAAGUGGCUUUACACUAUUUGAACCCACGAAAGCUAGGGGACAAACUGGGACUAGAUACCCCACUAUGCCUAGCCUUAAACUUAGAUGGACCUCUCCACCGUUCCAUCCGCCCGGGUACUACUAGCACCAGCUUAAAACCCAACGGACUUGGCGGCGCUUUAUACCCACCUAGAGGAGCCUGUUCUAGAACCGAUACCCCUCGUUCAACCUCACCUUCUCUUGUUCCCCCCCGCCUAUAUACCGCCGUCGUCAGCCCACCCUGUGAAGGUUUAAUAGUGAGCAAAGUUGGUACAACCCAAAACGUCAGGUCGAGGUGUAGCGUAUGAGAAGGAAGAAAUGGGCUACAAUUGCUAAAACAGCUAACACGAACUGUCUCGCUGAAAUCGCGAACAUGAAGGAGGAUUUAGAAGUAAGGUGAAAGCAGAGCGUUCCCCUGAACUGGCCCUAAAGCGUGCACAUACCGCCCGUCACCCUCCCCGAGCUAAAGCACUAACUAUUAAUUAAGAAUUUAUAUCCUGCAAAGGGGAGGCAAGUCGUAACAUGGUAAGUGUACCGGAAGGUGCACUUGAGUAAAUU
Molecule: non-coding RNA, 895 nt
Filed under: Ostorhinchus ishigakiensis
Lineage: Eukaryota; Metazoa; Chordata; Actinopteri; Kurtiformes; Apogonidae
Description: partial 12S ribosomal RNA
Rfam family: Bacterial small subunit ribosomal RNA
Source: RNAcentral